UACAGAGGUCUCAAGCGUUGUUCGGAUUCAUUGGGCGUAAAGAGCUCGUAGGUGGUUUGGUAAGUCGGAUGUGAAAUCUCCAGGCUCAACCUGGAGGGGUCAUUCGAUACUGCCAUGACUAGAGGUCGGUAGGGGAGUGUGGAAUUCCUGGUGGAGCGGUGAAAUGCGCAGAUAUCAGGAGGAACACCCGUAGCGAAGGCGGCACUCUGGGCCGAUUCUGACACUGAGGAGCGAAAGCGUGGGGAGCGAACAGG
This 254-nucleotide ribosomal RNA is filed under the name uncultured bacterium. RNAcentral's name for it is "partial 16S ribosomal RNA". It matches the Rfam family "Bacterial small subunit ribosomal RNA", at positions 524 to 776 of the family's 1533-position model. The record is from RNAcentral.